Molecule: ribosomal RNA, 1282 nt
Filed under: uncultured bacterium
Lineage: Bacteria
Description: bacterial SSU rRNA
Rfam family: Bacterial small subunit ribosomal RNA
Source: RNAcentral
AGUCGAACGAGAAACGGAUCUAGCUUGCUAAAUUGCAGUCUAAGUGGCGCACGGGUGAGUAAUGUAUAGGUAACAUGCCUUUUAGUAGGGGAUAACAGAUGGAAACGUCUGCUAAUACCCUAUAUUCCUUAUUAGCGUAAGUGUGUAAGGGAAAGAUUUAUUGCUAAAAGAUUGGCCUAUAUUGUAUCAGCUAGUUGGUAGUGUAAUGGACUACCAAGGCUAUGACGCAUAACUGGUUUGAGGGGAUGAUCAGUCACACUGGAACUGAGACACGGUCCAGACUCCUACGGGAGGCAGCAGUGGGGAAUAUUGCACAAUGGGGGAAACCCUGAUGCAGCAACGCCGCGUGGAGGAUGACACAUUUCGGUGCGUAAACUCCUUUUAUAAGAGAAGAUAAUGACGGUAUCUUAUGAAUAAGCACCGGCUAACUCCGUGCCAGCAGCCGCGGUAAUACGGAGGGUGCAAGCGUUACUCGGAAUCACUGGGCGUAAAGAGCGUGUAGGCGGAUUUGUAAGUUGGGAGUGAAAGCCUAUGGCUCAACCAUAGAACUGCUUCCAAAACUGCAUGUCCAGAGUGUGGGAGAGGUAGAUGGAAUUUCUGGUGUAGGGGUAAAAUCCGUAGAGAUCAGAAGGAAUACCGAUUGCGAAGGCGAUCUACUGGAACAUAACUGACGCUGAGACGCGAAAGCGUGGGGAGCAAACAGGAUUAGAUACCCUGGUAGUCCACGCCCUAAACGAUGUACACUAGUUGUUGUGAGGUUCGACCUUGCAGUAAUGCAGUUAACACAGUAAGUGUACCGCCUGGGGAGUACGGUCGCAAGAUUAAAACUCAAAGGAAUAGACGGGGACCCGCACAAGCGGUGGACCAUGUGGUUUAAUUCGAAGAUACGCGAAGACCCUUACCUGGCCUUGACAUUGAAAGAAUCCUGUAGAGAUACGGGAGUGCUAGCUUGCUAGAGCUUGAAACCAGGUGCUGCMCGGCGUUCUUCAGUUCGUUUCGUGAGAUGUUGGGUUAAUUCCCGCAACGAGCCCAACCCACGUCGUUAGUUCUUACCAGUUAGCUUGAGAAUUCUACCGAGACGCCUUUGGUAAGGAGGAGGAAGGGGAGGAGGACGCCAAGUCUUCAUGGCCCUUAGGUCCAGGGCUCCCCCCGUGUUCCAAUGGGGUAUCCAAGGACCACCAAUCCGGUGACGUGGACCAAUUUUCAUAAAAGCCCUCCCAGUUCGGAUGGUGGUCUGCAAUUGGCCUCCAGAAGUGGAAUCGUUAGUAUUGGAAAUCAGCAU